RNAcentral lists this non-coding RNA (117 nucleotides) under Dissulfuribacter thermophilus. RNAcentral describes it as "TPP sequence". It matches the Rfam family "TPP riboswitch aptamer (THI element)". From Rfam's summary of the family: Vitamin B(1) in its active form thiamin pyrophosphate (TPP) is an essential coenzyme that is synthesised by coupling of pyrimidine and thiazole moieties in bacteria. The previously detected thiamin-regulatory element, thi box was extended, resulting in a new, highly conserved RNA secondary structure, the THI element, which is widely distributed in eubacteria and also occurs in some archaea. The record is from Rfam by way of RNAcentral. Lineage: Bacteria; Pseudomonadati; Thermodesulfobacteriota; Dissulfuribacteria; Dissulfuribacterales; Dissulfuribacteraceae.
AUAGCUCGUUGGGGGAGCCCGGGGUAACGGGCUGAGAGGAAGGCUUAUCAAUCCCGCCUUCGACUCCUAACACCUGAACUGGGUAAUACCAGCGUAGGGAAACGAGUUUUACUAACU